AUUGAACGCUGGCGGCGUGCCUAACACAUGCAAGUCGAGCGGUAACAGGUGUAGCAAUACAUGCUGACGAGCGGCGAACGGGUGAGUAAUGCUUCGGAAUCUUCCCAUUAGUGGGGAAUAACCAGCCGAAAGGUUGGCUAAUACCGCAUACGUCCUACGGGAGAAAGCAGGGGAUCGCAAGACCUUGCGCUAUUGGAUGAGCCGAAGUCGGAUUAGCUAGUUGGUGAGGUAACGGCUCACCAAGGCGACGAUCCGUAGCUGGUCCGAGAGGACGACCAGCCACACUGGGACUGAGACACGGCCCAGACUCCUACGGGUGGCAG
RNAcentral lists this ribosomal RNA (323 nucleotides) under uncultured Pseudomonadota bacterium. RNAcentral's name for it is "bacterial SSU rRNA". It matches the Rfam family "Bacterial small subunit ribosomal RNA", at positions 30 to 351 of the family's 1533-position model. The record is from RNAcentral. Lineage: Bacteria; Pseudomonadati; Pseudomonadota.